Long non-coding RNA from Cephus cinctus (wheat stem sawfly), 533 nucleotides. RefSeq lists it as uncharacterized. Lineage: Eukaryota; Metazoa; Arthropoda; Insecta; Hymenoptera; Cephidae. The record is from RefSeq and is a predicted model, not a curated record. The transcript is spliced from 2 exons.
CUCACGACCUGGUAUGACCUGCCACCAGCUGCUUGACUUUGGAAUAUCUCAACCUGCCUCCUAGCCUUCUGCACGACACUACCGUCUGCGGAAUUACGUUCACGCGAGUCGAUCACCUGGUUGGACGGAAGAGCAGUGGAAUGUGCAGCACCCUGGUUUCUAGUUUGCCAUCGACCGGUCUCGAUCCUGGCACGUUCUAGCAUGCCAGUCAGACGAUCGACGUGGGACCACUCACGUACCUCUUCAUUCUGGAAGGGAUCUCCCUCGUUGUCAUUUAUCCUACCUGGUGAGAAUACCAGUUCCAUCUUCCGUUCGUGUGGGCAGAUCUUGCUCAAUACCGGGGCUCGAUCAUCUCUUUGCGAUUUGCGCUGCAACGCAAAUAUCACAUCGUUAAUUCGAUUACUCACGUGCUAAAAUUACUGCGACUCAUUCGAGUUUACUAUAUGCAUGUACAGAUUUGUAUUCCAGUGACACGGAUCAUGUAGGAAUGAUUGUGGAAAAGUAUUGCUUGGACAACAUUAUCCUUUCGUUUA